RNAcentral lists this ribosomal RNA (412 nucleotides) under uncultured bacterium. Its description in RNAcentral is "bacterial SSU rRNA". It matches the Rfam family "Bacterial small subunit ribosomal RNA", at positions 505 to 916 of the family's 1533-position model. The record is from RNAcentral.
GUGUCAGCCGCCGCGGUAAUACGGAGGGUGCGAGCGUUAAUCGGAAUGACUGGGCGUAAAGGGCAUGUAGGCGGAUAACUAAGUUAGGUGUGAAAGCCCUGGGCUCAACCUAGGAAUUGCACUUAAAACUGGUUAACUAGAGUAUUGUAGAGGAAGGUAGAAUUCCACGUGUAGCGGUGAAAUGCGUAGAGAUGUGGAGGAAUACCGGUGGCGAAGGCGGCCUUCUGGACAGAUACUGACGCUGAGAUGCGAAAGCGUGGGGAGCAAACAGGAUUAGAUACCCUGGUAGUCCACGCUGUAAACGAUGUCGAUUUGGAGUUUGUUGCCUAGAGUGAUGGGCUCCGAAGCUAACGCGAUAAAUCGACCGCCUGGGGAGUACGGCCGCAAGGUUAAAACUUAAAUAAAUUGACGG